GGUAGAGUGUAUACGUGGCUGUUUGUGGCCAGGAGUGUGGCAAGGCAGACAUUUCCAACAGGACAGCCAGAGAAAACCUCACUAAUUUUUGAAUGCAGAUGUGAGGGAAGUAAGGGAACCGGCCAUGGGGAUGUCAUUCUAAGGAGAGAAAACCACAAAUGCGAAUCCCUAAGUCAGUAGUGAGCCUCCUCCUUCAAGGACCAGCAGGGAGGCCGUGUGGCAGGAGCUGAGUGCCCUACAGAGAACCUGAACCCUGAGGGGAACAGGCCCGCCACAUAGCCUUGGAAGUCACGACGGCUUCUUCACGGAAGACAGGGCCACACCAUGACGUUCUUACAACAACUUCUCAUCAAAGAGACUUCUCGCUGUGCGUGCCCGGGUUCCUCGCCAGACAGAACUGAAGACGCAUAAUGCGCUGGAGAAAGUUCAGGGAGACGAAACACCAAGAAGGAAUGCACUUGGAAAGUUGAUAAAUGGAUCCAAAGAAAUUCAGAGGAGUAAAAGGAUGAUGUUACUUCUUAGAGAACCAGGAUGUUUCUGUUUGCACUCUGUUGCAUAUCUCAACUAUAGGAGCUCUCCUCAAGAUUAAAUUUUCCCUUUUUAAAAAAAAAUGUAUCUAUUGAUUUUAUUUCACAUUGCACUGGUAAAUAAAGAAGUCUUAAAAUUAUUAUAAUCAUAUAUGAUUUUGGG
Long non-coding RNA from Suricata suricatta (meerkat), 690 nucleotides. RefSeq lists it as uncharacterized. NCBI's taxonomy places the organism in Eukaryota, Metazoa, Chordata, Mammalia, Carnivora, Herpestidae. The record is from RefSeq and is a predicted model, not a curated record. The transcript is spliced from 3 exons.